GAUGAAGAACGUAGCGAAAUGCGAUAAGUAAUGUGAAUUGCAGAAUUCAGUGAAUCAUCGAAUCUUUGAACGCACAUUGCGCCCGCCAGUAUUCUGGCGGGUAUGCCUGUUCGAGCGUCAUUUCAACCAUCAAGCCCCGGGCUUGUGUUGGGGACCUGCGGCUGCCGCAGGCCCUGAAAUGCAGUGGCGGGCUCGCUGUCACUCCGAGCGUAGUAAUACAUCUCGCUCUGGACGUGCUGCGGGUUCCGGCCGUUAAAAGCCUUAUUUACCCAAGGUUGACCUCGGAUCAGGUAGGAAGACCCGCUGAACUUAAGCAUAUCAAUAAGCGGAGGA
This 333-nucleotide unclassified non-coding RNA is filed under the name soil metagenome. RNAcentral describes it as "partial contains 5.8S ribosomal RNA, internal transcribed spacer 2, and large subunit ribosomal RNA". The stretch from base 1 to 120 matches the Rfam family "5.8S ribosomal RNA", at positions 35 to 154 of the family's 154-position model. The record is from RNAcentral.